This 85-nucleotide transfer RNA is filed under the name Chlorobiota bacterium. RNAcentral describes it as "Chlorobi bacterium (hydrothermal vent metagenome) tRNA-Ser". It matches the Rfam family "tRNA". Rfam says of the family: Transfer RNA (tRNA) molecules are approximately 80 nucleotides in length. Lineage: Bacteria; Pseudomonadati; Chlorobiota. The record is from RNAcentral.
GGAGAGAUGGCAGAGUGGUCGAAUGCGGCGGUCUUGAAAACCGUUGUACCGAAAGGUACCGGGGGUUCGAAUCCCUCUCUCUCCG